CACACACACACACACACAGUCAUACACAUUCCCUCCAGAGAAAUCUCUUUGUCUGGAGUCUCUCCUGAGAGUCAGAGUACACACAGAAGAUAAGAACUCAGACUCUUCUGCUGCCAUCUCCGUCCAUCUGUCCAUCUGGUCUCCAGAGAGAAUUCCACCGAAACAAUGAUUUCCAGGCUCUGGGCGUAUGCUGCCAAAAUCAGAAGAAAUGUACAAAGCAACGCUGGGCUCAGAGUUGGCCCUUCCUGAAGGGUGGGUGGCCGGGCUCCUCCAAACCUCUGGCUGAGCUUCUCACUCAGCAAUUAAGGCUGCCGGAGCUCCGCCCAGACCCCAAGCACCCUCCAGCUUUUGUCUCUGGGAGAAAAUGCUGCUGAGCACCGAGGAAAUCUGCGAGGAG
This 397-nucleotide long non-coding RNA is filed under the name Equus asinus (donkey). RNAcentral's name for it is "lncRNA (ENSEASG00005031307.1)". Lineage: Eukaryota; Metazoa; Chordata; Mammalia; Perissodactyla; Equidae. The record is from RNAcentral.